GAUCUGGAGGUCAUCAGAGGGGCGUGGAAUUUCCGGUGUAGCGGUUAAAUGCGCAGAUAUCGGAAGGAACACCAGUGCCGAAAGCGGCGCCCUGGGGUGGACCUGACGCUGAGAGACGAAAGCUAGGGGAGCGAACAGGAUUACGAGACCCUGGUAGUCCUAGCUAUAGACGAUGGAUGCUAGGUGUGGGGUCGAGAAGACUCCGUGCCGGAGCCAACGCGAUAAGCAUCCCGCCUGGGGACUACGGCCGCAAGGCUAAAACUCAAACGAAUUGACGGGGCCCCGCACAAGCAGCGGAGCGUGUGGUUCAAUUCGAUGCUACACGAAGAACCUUACCUGGGUUUGACAUGGAGGUGGUAGGGAAGCGAAAGCGGACCGACCCUUCGGGGAGCCUUCACAGGUGCUGCAUGGCUGUCGUCAGCUCGUGCCGUGAGGUGUCGGGUUAAGUCCCGUAACGAGCGCAGCCCUUGCCCUUAGUUACAAGUCUCUAAGGGGACUGCCGGCGGUAAGCCGGAGCCACCUGGGGAUCACGUCAAGUCAGCAUGGCCCUUAUAUCCAGGGCUACACACACGCUACAAUGGUCGGUACAAAGGGCAGCGAAGCCGCGAGGUGAAGCGAAUCCCAUCAAAGCCGAUCGUAGUUCGGAUUGCAGGCUGCAACUCGCAUGCAUGAAGCUGGAGUUGCUAGUAACCGCGCGUCAGCCAUACUGCCGUGAUACGUUCCCGGGGCUUGACACACCGCCCGUCACGUCAUGGGAGU
RNAcentral lists this ribosomal RNA (759 nucleotides) under uncultured organism. Its description in RNAcentral is "bacterial SSU rRNA". It matches the Rfam family "Bacterial small subunit ribosomal RNA", at positions 638 to 1411 of the family's 1533-position model. The record is from RNAcentral.